CGUAGGUGCGAGCGUUGUCCGGAAUUAUUGGGCGUAAAGAGCUCGUAGGCGGUCUGUCACAUCGGAAGUGAAACUCGGGGCUCAACCCCGAGCCUGCUUUCGAUACGGGCAGACUUGAGGAAUGUAGGGAGAACGGAAUUCCUGGUGGAGCGGUGGAAUGCGCAGAUAUCAGGAGGAACACCAGUGGCGAAGGCGGUUCUCUGGACAUUAACUGACGCUGAGGAGCGAAAGCGUGGGGAGCAAACAGGCUU
This 251-nucleotide ribosomal RNA is filed under the name uncultured bacterium. Its description in RNAcentral is "partial 16S ribosomal RNA". It matches the Rfam family "Bacterial small subunit ribosomal RNA", at positions 526 to 779 of the family's 1533-position model. The record is from RNAcentral.